RNAcentral lists this ribosomal RNA (253 nucleotides) under uncultured bacterium. RNAcentral's name for it is "partial 16S ribosomal RNA". It matches the Rfam family "Bacterial small subunit ribosomal RNA", at positions 524 to 776 of the family's 1533-position model. The record is from RNAcentral.
UACAGAGGUGGCAAGCGUUGUUCGGAAUUACUGGGCGUAAAGCGCGUGUAGGCGGUCCGGUAAGUCGGUUGUGAAAGUCCAGGGCUCAACCCUGGGAUGCCGACCGAUACUGUCGGACUAGAGUUCGGAAGAGGCGAGUGGAAUUCCCGGUGUAGCGGUGAAAUGCGCAGAUAUCGGGAGGAACACCAAUGGCGAAGGCAGCUCGCUGGGACGUUACUGACGCUGAGACGCGAAAGCGUGGGGAGCAAACAGG